GCCUAAUAGUAACACAGUAAUAAAGCACUAAUUACUCGCCAAACCACUACGAGUGAAAACUUAAAACUUAAAAGACUUGACGGUACCUCAGACCCAGCCUAGAGGAGCCUGUCUAAUAACCGAUAAUCCACGUUCAACCCAACCCGCUUUAGCCAACCAGUCUAUAUACCGCCGUCGCCAGCCCACCUUAUGAAAGAAACAAAGUGCGCCCAAUAGUCCAACACUAACACGACAGGUCGAGGUGUAACUUAUAAGCAGGGACAGAUGGGCUACAUUUUCUCUAACAGAACAAACGAACAAGAAUAUGAAACCACCUUUAAAGGCGGAUUUAGCAGUAAGCCACGGCUCACAUUUCCCGACUGAAACUAAUGCAAUGAGGUGCGUACACACCGCCCGUCAUCCCUGCAAAAUUAAUUAACCAUAAAUAAACCCACUAACCACCUAUAAACCAGGGCAAGUCGUAACAUGGUAAGCGUACUGGAAAGUGCGCUUAGAAA
This 497-nucleotide ribosomal RNA is filed under the name Achalinus spinalis (Peters' odd-scaled snake). RNAcentral describes it as "partial 12S ribosomal RNA". It matches the Rfam family "Bacterial small subunit ribosomal RNA", at positions 835 to 1522 of the family's 1533-position model. The record is from RNAcentral. Lineage: Eukaryota; Metazoa; Chordata; Lepidosauria; Squamata; Xenodermidae.